This 455-nucleotide long non-coding RNA is filed under the name Zonotrichia albicollis (white-throated sparrow). Its description in RNAcentral is "lncRNA (ENSZALG00000011714.1)". The record is from RNAcentral. Lineage: Eukaryota; Metazoa; Chordata; Aves; Passeriformes; Passerellidae.
CUAUCUAAAGUUAUAGCAACUGAACCAGGAAGACAGUUUUAUAGCUAGAAAUUUCUGUUACAGGCAUCCAAUUGUUAGAAAAGUUCCUGUGCAGAAACCAUGUGUGUGUUGUGGGCCUACAACCAUGGCAGCUAUUCAAAUAUUAAAGAGUGGGGGGUCUUCCUGGCAUCCCAUAAUUCUGUGCACCAUCUUUAUGAUUCCCAUGCUUCAGGAGACACUGUAGUCUUUCAGCAACGAGAGAGGCAGCUGACUCCAACCCUGGAAGCACUGGAAUAAGCAGAAACUCAGGAGAGAAUAUACCUCUGGGAAAAAAUAAUUACAGGAUUUGAAUCAACCUUUCUAGGGCAUUUCAGAAGUUGCCACAGCUGUCUAAAACUGAACUGUGCAGUUUAAGGUGAGUAUAUUUAAGAAUCAGAGCCUGGAAACAUCCAUUCAGACUGAGGCCUCACUCUUCG